CCCUUAGAUGUUCUGGGCCGCACGCGCGCUACACCGACGAAUGCAACGAGCUUAUAACCUUGGCCGAAAGGUCUGGGUAAUCUCCAAAUUUCGUCGUGAUGGGGAUAGAUUAUUGCAAUUAUUAAUCUUCAACGAGGAAUGCCUAGUAAGCGCAAGUCAUCAGCUUGCGUUGAUUACGUCCCUGCCCUUUGUACACACCGCCCGUCGCUCCUACCGAUUGAAUGGUCCGGUGAAGCGCUCGGACCGCGGCCUCUUGACGGUUCGCUGUCGAUUGGCUGUGGGAAGUUCGUUAAACCUUAUCAUUUAGAGGAAGGAGAAGUCGUAACA
Molecule: ribosomal RNA, 327 nt
Filed under: uncultured eukaryote
Lineage: Eukaryota
Description: partial 18S ribosomal RNA
Rfam family: Eukaryotic small subunit ribosomal RNA
Source: RNAcentral